GCGAGAGUGGCGGAACUGGCAGACGCGCUGGACUUAGGAUCCAGUGGGCGAAAUCCCUUGGGGGUUCGACUCCCCCCUCUCGCACCA
RNAcentral lists this transfer RNA (87 nucleotides) under Candidatus Rokuibacteriota bacterium. Its description in RNAcentral is "tRNA-Leu". It matches the Rfam family "tRNA". Rfam says of the family: Transfer RNA (tRNA) molecules are approximately 80 nucleotides in length. Lineage: Bacteria; Candidatus Rokuibacteriota. The record is from RNAcentral.